This 247-nucleotide ribosomal RNA is filed under the name uncultured bacterium. RNAcentral's name for it is "partial 16S ribosomal RNA". It matches the Rfam family "Bacterial small subunit ribosomal RNA", at positions 86 to 334 of the family's 1533-position model. The record is from RNAcentral.
UUCUGGCGACCGGCGCACGGGUGAGUAACACGUAUCCAACCUGCCCUUUACUCGGGGAUAGCCUUUCGAAAGAAAGAUUAAUACCCGAUAGCAUAAUGAUUCCGCAUGGUUUCAUUAUUAAAGGAUUCCGGUAAAGGAUGGGGAUGCGUUCCAUUAGGUUGUUGGUGAGGUAACGGCGCACCAAGCCUUCGAUGGAUAGGGGUUCUGAGAGGAAGGUCCCCCACAUUGGAACUGAGACACGGUCCAG